ACAGGUGUUGCAUGGCUGUCGUCAGCUCGUGUCGUGAGAUGUUCGGUUAAGUCCGCUAACGAGCGCAACCCUCGCUGUGUGUUAUAUGUGUCACACAGGACUGCUGGUAUUAAGGCCGGAGGAAGGUGGGGACGACGUCAAGUCAGCAUGACCUUUAUAUCCAGGGCUACACACACGCUACAAUGGUCAGUACAAUGGGUUGCCAAGCCGCGAGGCGGAGCCAAUCCUAAAAAGCUGGCCUCAGUUCAGAUUGCAGUCUGAAACUCGACUGCAUGAAGUCGGAGUUGCUAGUAAACGCAGGUCAGCUAUACUGCGUUGAAUACGUUCCCGGGGCUU
This 336-nucleotide ribosomal RNA is filed under the name uncultured Anaerolineaceae bacterium. Its description in RNAcentral is "bacterial SSU rRNA". It matches the Rfam family "Bacterial small subunit ribosomal RNA", at positions 1034 to 1382 of the family's 1533-position model. Lineage: Bacteria; Bacillati; Chloroflexota; Anaerolineae; Anaerolineales; Anaerolineaceae. The record is from RNAcentral.